CAAAAAAUAGUUUACGUAAAACAAUAGAUUUGGAUUCUAUAAAAAAUUACUAUUUUUUUUGA
RNAcentral lists this transfer RNA (62 nucleotides) under Hyalella latimana. RNAcentral describes it as "tRNA-Pro". Lineage: Eukaryota; Metazoa; Arthropoda; Malacostraca; Amphipoda; Hyalellidae. The record is from RNAcentral.